GGAGUUAGCCGGUGCUUCUUCUGUGAGUGAUGUCCUUCCUGCCGGCUAUUAACCCGCAGGCCUUCUUCCUCACUGAAAGUGCUUUACAACCCGAAGGCCUUCUUCACACACGCGGCAUGGCUGGAUCAGGGUUGCCCCCAUUGUCCAAUAUUCCCCACUGCUGCCUCCCGUAGGAGUCUGGGCCGUGUCUCAGUCCCAGUGUGGCUGAUCAUCCUCUCAGACCAGCUACGGAUCGUCGCCUUGGUGAGCCGUUACCUCACCAACCAGCUAAUCCGACAUAGGCUCAUCCGAUAGCGCGAGGCCCGAAGGUCCCCCGCUUUCCCCCGUAGGGCGUAUGCGGUAUUAGCCUGGGUUUCCCCCAGGGUUAUCCCCCACUACCGGGGCAGAUUCCUAUGCAUUACUCACCCGUCCGCCGCUCGCCACCAGGGAGCAAGCUCCCCGUGCUGCCGCUCGACUUGCAUGUGUUAGGCCUGCCGCCAGCGUUCAAUCUGAACCAAGAUCAAAUUCUGA
Molecule: ribosomal RNA, 510 nt
Filed under: uncultured bacterium
Lineage: Bacteria
Description: partial 16S ribosomal RNA
Source: RNAcentral